GUGGGGAAUAUUGGACAAUGGGGGGAACCCUGAUCCAGCCAUGCCGCGUGUGUGAAGAAGGCCUUUUGGUUGUAAAGCACUUUAAGCGAGGAGGAGGCUACCGAGAUUAAUACUCUUGGAUAGUGGACGUUACUCGCAGAAUAAGCACCGGCUAACUCUGUGCCAGCAGCCGCGGUAAUACAGAGGGUGCAAGCGUUAAUCGGAUUUACUGGGCGUAAAGCGCGCGUAGGUGGCCAAUUAAGUCAAAUGUGAAAUCCCCGAGCUUAACUUGGGAAUUGCAUUCGAUACUGGUUGGCUAGAGUAUGGGAGAGGAUGGUAGAAUUCCAGGUGUAGCGGUGAAAUGCGUUGAGAUCUGGAGGAAUACCGAUGGCGAAGGCAGCCAUCUGGCCUAAUACUGACACUGAGGUGCGAAAGCAUGGGGAGCAAACAGGAUUAGAAACCCUAGUAGUCC
This 451-nucleotide ribosomal RNA is filed under the name uncultured bacterium. RNAcentral's name for it is "partial 16S ribosomal RNA". It matches the Rfam family "Bacterial small subunit ribosomal RNA", at positions 354 to 796 of the family's 1533-position model. The record is from RNAcentral.